This is an RNA transcript of Capsicum annuum, 3997 nucleotides long. It is a transcript of the gene named plant UBX domain-containing protein 2, with no coding region annotated. Lineage: Eukaryota; Viridiplantae; Streptophyta; Magnoliopsida; Solanales; Solanaceae. The transcript has 3 exons. The record is from RefSeq and is a predicted model, not a curated record.
UACACUAAAAUAUGACAUUCCCUCCCAUAUUAUUAACACUGCUAAUUAUAUUCUCUCCAAUAUAUUUUAUUUCCUUCCAUUUCUAAUUACCCAAAAAAAAUUACAAAACAUAAUAACAUUGGGGUAAAAUGUUGCCCAGGGUUUAUCCUCAUCCGAGAAUUAGAGAAUUGGGGAAUUAAUCAUCAAUUUAUUUUAUAACUUUUGAUGUUGCAUGGGGUUUAUUCAUCCGUGAAUUAGAGAAAUUGGGGGAUUGAAGCAAAUAUUCAUCCGCAAAUUGGUUUAGAGAAAUUGGGGAAUUGAACCAAAUAUUCAUCCAUUAAUUGGUGUAUUUUUACAUGUUUGGAUGCAAUUGAGAAUUGAGGAAUUGGAUGCAAAUAUUCAUCCGUAAAAUCUCAUCCAAGAGGGGAAUUAGAUGUUCUUGAAAGUAAAGUUGUUAAAAGUUAAGUGGAGGGAUUGAAGCAAAUAUUCAUCCACAAAUUGGUUUAGAUAAAUUGGGAAAUUGAACCAAAUAUUCAUCCACAAAUUGGUGUACUUUUACAUGUUUGGAUGCAAUUUAGAAUCGGGGAAUUGGAUGCAAAUAUUCAUCCGCAAAAUCUCAUGCAAGAUUAGAUGUUCUUGAAAGUAAAGUUGUUUGAAGUUAAGUGGAAGAAUGUGUUAGUUUAUAUGUUUCGGGAAAGCUAUCAGAGAAGUCAGUUGAGGUGGUUAUGAAGUUGUUAAAGAAUAUCGGGAAGGAGCCGAUGAAUGAUAAGUUUAGGAAAAUAAGGAUAGGGAAUUUGAAGAUUAAGGAGGCUAUAGGUGAUGUUGUAGGUGGAGUGGAGUUAUUAGAAUUUGUUGGAUUUAAGUUGAAAGAAGAAGGUGGCAAAAUUUGUGCUGUGGUGGAUGUUCCUUCUGAAGAACAACUUGUUGUACUUAGGAAUGUGGUUUCACUUUUGGAGCCAAAUAAGGUUGAGGAGUUGGCAUCAGCAUCCCAAAUUAAGGAGAGUGAACCAAUUGAGCCGAAGAAGAUCGGUAGACAGGUAGAAUUCGGAUUAUGCUGAAGAAGAUCGAUAGAUAGCAUCGCAACAAAAAUUGUGAAAAAGCCGCAAUAAAGAAGUACGCAAAAUCCAUUAUCCGAAUACAGUUUCCAGAUGGAGUGUUGCUUCAAGGUGUCUUUCUACGUUCUAUGUCAACUAGUGCUCUUUAUGAGGUUUGUACUUUACUUAUUGUAAGUGUACUUUACUUUUACUUUACUUAUUAUUCUUGUUUCCUUUAUCUUUAUGGUUGAAGAGGGCCCUUGGUGUAACCAGUAAAGUUAUUGUCAAAUGUGACCUGAAGGUUAUGAGUAAGAGUCAAAUUAGUAAAAUCCAAAUUGGUAAGAACUUUAUGUAUUCUUUUUAAGGAACUUAUGUUAGCUUUAAAAGUAAAGAUUCAUUUAUUUUCAAAUGACUUUUUCUUCCCUGCGUAAAGGCAUUAUUUCAUCAAAUGACUUUAAGGUUAUUAUUUCAUUUUCCAAAUUUAUUAUAAGCAUAGACUUAAACUUGUCAUAUGAAAAGUUGAAAGUAAAGAAUUGUUUUACUAGAAAAGAGACUUUUUAAACCAAAAAUACACAAAAUGAUAGUAAGACAAACAAAUUAAAAUAAAAAGCAUAUAUUAAAGUGAAUUGAGAGGUUUCUAUUAUUGUGUGUAGACUUAAUUUGAUAGAACAAAAUUAUUUAUACUAAGUAUUAGGUGAAAUUCUAUUCAUUUGUCCAAGCCUUGUUGAUAGGAGGUAGCUUGUAAAAUUAACCAAAGUAUUAGUCGAAUUGCGAAGGGGAGCCUUGGAGUAACUGGUAAAGUUGCUGCCACGCGACUAGGAGGUCACGGGUUCAAGCCUUGGAAAUAGCCUCUUGCAGAAAUGCAAGGUAAGGAUGCAUAUGAUACACCCUUGUGGUGGGGCCCUUCCCCGGACACCGCACAUCGCGGUAGCUUUAGCUGCCCUUUAUUAGUCGAAUUUCAUAGAAGUUGAUCCGAACAUGACGAUUCAAAAUGCUAGGUAGGUAGUUAUGGGCUAGAAUAAUAGGAAAUUGCAUUAUGGCCAAUAUACAAAAUAAUUCUAAGAUGGAGCCAAACCUGUAAUCUUCUUGAUUGUAUAUACUAUAUAGUAAUAAAAGAAUAAAGAUGGGAAAAGUAUGAAGAUAGAGAGUGAUGGGAGAAUCCAACAGAAACAAAGGGAAUUUUGUGUGAGAGAGAUAGAAAGAUUGUUGCAAACCAAGUAUGAAAAGUGAAGUUGAUAAAUAUGUAGGGUAAUAAAAUUCCCUUUUUGUAACUUCUUUAAAGAAGAUGAGCCUUUUUGGACAAUUUAAUUGCAUCCAACUUAUCCACAAACUGCUUUUUAUCUGUGUUAUCACUAUAUCAUUAUGUUUUCUAUUGUUUGGUGCAGCAUUCCAUUCCUGGAGCUCCAAAUAUGAUAUAUAACAACUCUCCAAAGUGCAACAGUGACUUCCUUCUGGAACCUAUUGUAUUGUUUCCUCUUAAUUUUCCCUAUGACUUGUUUUGAAUUGCCUGUGGAAAUAUUAAUAAUGGACCAUUGUGUAAUUUUUGUUUCACUCCUAAUCCACACACUAGUAUCAAAGAGAUGGCUAUGUGUCUCUACGACCAAAUCAUCUCAUAGUCAAUAAGUAGCCUCCUCCAUUGGAAUCCGAAUUGUGCUUAGUCUUUCCUUAGUCAGUAGUUCGUCUAGUACUGCAAGCCAUAGUAUAAAAUAUCAAUCUAUGCUUGGGUUUAGCUAAUCUGGUCCAUAUCAGCAGCAACUCUGAGCCUACUCUGCACCCCUGAUAGAGCAUUAUAGCUCUUACUUAUUGACUAUUAUUCUCCUGGAUCAAGAAGAUAGUUACCUUGACAAUACCAUGCCUGCAUAUAUCCACUUUUAAAGAGUUCACCCUCUUUCUGUACCAUUUGGAAUCAAGUGGAGGAGUAUGAGUCCAUAUACUAACAGGGCUCAUGUCACUAAUGUUCUUGAAAUAAGCUAGACUGUAGUAACGUGGGAAUGCAUGAAAAAGCAAAGGUACUUAAGUUGGUAUGAGGUGAGAUUGGAAGGUGAGGGCUUUUUGAAUGAGGUAAAGGCUGUCUUUGGGAACAAAAAGUGCAAUCCCUUGUUCUAUACUUUUAGCUUGGGUUUGGAAAGUCUCAAUAACUUUAGUCCAUUCGGGAUAGUUAAGGAACGUGUGGAAAGGGCCAGCAAUAGAGAGUAAGUCCAUCAAGUUUGUGUAUUCAAGAAUUCAUGCCGGUGCUAGAGCGAAUGGAGCUCCAUUCGUUCUUUCUUUCGUGACUACAGUUGACCAUUGAAGGACUAGCAGUAGACUUUUUUUUAUAAAGAAAAAAAAAGUAGACUAUAGUGGUAGACUACUAAGCAGAAGGUUUGCAUCAUUAGCAAAAAUUAGCUCAGAGUUUGCAUUUUUAGCUAAAACUAAGAACAAAAUGACUUAAGAAUUAGCAAUGUAGCAUUUUCUUCAUUUGAACUGGAGAUUUCCUUUCCCAUUAAACAACAGAUUUCAUCUCCUAACAGCUAUUAUUUUGUUACUCAAUUAGUGCAAAACAAUCCUGGGUUGAAUGUUCAAGAUAUACCAAGGAGUGCCAGAUCUAACAUUCCUUUACCUGAUGCAAGUAAUGCACAAGCUUUAAGAGGGAAAAUUCUUCCGGCUCAACUCAUGCUUGGGUUCAUGAAAAAGAAAACUGCGGGUGGUCAAAUUUUAAAGGACGCCACCACAAGUGAUCAAGUUGAUCUAGAUUGAAGCGAAUUAUGAACUUUUUGGGCUAUUAUGAUAUAUGUUUAAAUACAUUUAAUUUUAUGUGGAACUUAGUAAAAAUCUUUAAAAUAUUAUUUUCUAAUUAGUAUGUGUAGUAAAAGACUUGUUUUUCGAAGUUCAUUGAAAAUCUAUGCAUUUGAAUUAUUUAUUAUCUAGUUGGUAUGUGAGAUUAUAUAUAUGUAAUGCGAUUAACGAUGUAUACACAUUCAGAUUAAAAUAAUUAUUUUUUAGGU